UGGGAAAGCUGUCUCUGGUGGAACCCUGG
This 29-nucleotide non-coding RNA is filed under the name Rattus norvegicus (Norway rat). The record is from RNAcentral. Lineage: Eukaryota; Metazoa; Chordata; Mammalia; Rodentia; Muridae.